Non-coding RNA from Carica papaya (papaya), 929 nucleotides. NCBI's taxonomy places the organism in Eukaryota, Viridiplantae, Streptophyta, Magnoliopsida, Brassicales, Caricaceae. The record is from RefSeq and is a predicted model, not a curated record.
AUAUUUAUUGUCUGUGUUUCUUUUUUUGGCUUGUUUAUGCAUUUGUUUAUAUUAUCAUACUAUCUUAGUGUCAUUCAUCUUAGUUUUUUCCUUUACCUUUUCAGGGUUGAUGUCAAUUAAGCUUAUUAAUUUAGUUUGAAUGAGAUUCUUACUGUCACGGAAUUGAGGUAAUUCAAUAUUUUCAUCUCAAGAACAUACUUAACUUAGUCCAGUGUAAUAAUUUGGGAUCUAACUCUUGUACACUACGUUUCAUCAUAGUAUCUUGAUAUGGAAUACAUGUUUUCUGUUCCUGUUACGUGAAAUCCCAUAGUUAGAAUAAGAUCAGAGAGAGAGAGAGAGAGAGAGAGAGAGAGGCAAAGGAAGAUUCCUGAAGAAGAGAAGAAAAGCUUGUGCAACCUCGCAUGGCGGUCAUAGCUAACGAUAUUAAGGGAGUCGUUGCUUCUGCAAGGGAAAUGAGGCAUGCCCUACAACACUGACAAAGUAGUAGAGGUAGAGGCUAUGGAGGAGACAGAGAACAUCUAUAGAAGGAUUUCUUCUUUUUAGGUCCAUCGGGUUUGUUCAAACACCAGAAACGCCACUGAAGUGACGAUUCAUUAACAUACGAAGAGCAGAGGCUACACGGAGAUGACACACUUUGGACCGGCACCCAGCCAAGAAUUCCCAGAAAACUGAACACCUUGCCUACCUUAUUUCACAUACUCAGCCUUAGUAGGUAAACAACUUACUUUUAUGUUCUAAAAGGAUGAGGGUUUGAGUUAAUUGUUUCAAGUGCUAUUACUAUGCCAUUAUUCCUUCUAUGUUCUUGUAUUGUCUUUUUGGUUUCUCAAAUGGUUGUGAGGAACAAGGAUGCUGGUAUUUGGGGUUUCUAUUGUACUGACAGGGAAUGAUUCAUACUUGAAUUAGGUUUAUGCCCGCACUGUUUAAGCUAA